This 389-nucleotide ribosomal RNA is filed under the name uncultured bacterium. Its description in RNAcentral is "bacterial SSU rRNA". It matches the Rfam family "Bacterial small subunit ribosomal RNA", at positions 30 to 417 of the family's 1533-position model. The record is from RNAcentral.
AUUGAACGCUGGCGGCAUGCCUUACACAUGCAAGUCGAACGGCAGCACGGGAGCAAUCCUGGUGGCGAGUGGCGAACGGGUGAGUAAUGUAUCGGAACGUACCUUUCAGUGGGGGAUAACGUAGCGAAAGUUACGCUAAUACCGCAUAUUCUGUGAGCAGGAAAGCAGGGGAGUCGCAAGACCUUGCGCUGAUUGAGCGGCCGAUAUCAGAUUAGCUAGUUGGUGAGGUAAAGGCUCACCAAGGCGACGAUCUGUAGCGGGUCUGAGAGGAUGAUCCGCCACACUGGAACUGAGACACGGUCCAGACUCCUACGGGAGGCAGCAGUGGGGGAAUUUUGGACAAUGGGCGCAAGCCUGAUCCAGCCAUGCCGCGUGAGUGAAGAAGGCCU